UACAGAGGGUGCAAGCGUUGUUCGGAAUUAUUGGGCGUAAAGGGCGCGUAGGCGGUGCGGUAAGUCUGUAGUGAAAUCUCUGGGCUCAACUCAGAGUCUGCUGCAGAAACUGCCGUGCUUGAGUGUGGGAGAGGUGAGUGGAAUUCCCGGUGUAGCGGUGAAAUGCGUAGAUAUUGGGAAGAACACCGGUGGCGAAGGCGGCCAACUGGACCACAACUGACGCUGAGGCGCGAAAGCGUGGGGAGCAAACAGG
This 253-nucleotide ribosomal RNA is filed under the name uncultured bacterium. RNAcentral describes it as "partial 16S ribosomal RNA". It matches the Rfam family "Bacterial small subunit ribosomal RNA", at positions 524 to 776 of the family's 1533-position model. The record is from RNAcentral.